This is a long non-coding RNA of Carassius auratus (goldfish), 923 nucleotides long. RefSeq lists it as uncharacterized. The transcript has 5 exons. NCBI's taxonomy places the organism in Eukaryota, Metazoa, Chordata, Actinopteri, Cypriniformes, Cyprinidae. The record is from RefSeq and is a predicted model, not a curated record.
CCGUCCAGUCCGGUGUGAGUCGCACACAAACCCGGAGCUGCGACAGCUGGAGAAUGGACCGUGAGUGACGGGGCAACGAGCCAAUCGGAGGAAGGAGCGCGAGAGAGGGCGGGGCGUGGAGUGAGGCGAGGUUCUCUGUGGCGAAAGAAGCUUCUUCAGAUUAGAAAACGUUAUUGCACCUCUACUGGAGAAAUCACUGGGUCACUACUUCUGUAGCAUCUGCUGUUUGUCUAAAGAAGAGAGGGACGACAUUGCCAAAAAUAAGACCAUCAACCUCACCCUUGCUGAGCAGGAGGAAAGAAAUAAAGUUGCUUUUAUAAGGCACGGCAGAAAGUAGAAAGACAAUGUUUAUGGAGCAGCUGAGGAUGAUUCAUGGAAGCGGAUACAAAUGCCAUGAAGACGCUAAAGAUCCCAUACUCCAACCCGCAGAACGAGAUCCAUAUGAAAGAGUUUGUCUCUGUUCUUCAACAUGGUCAUCAAUUCACUAGGGUUCACCAAUUCCUCCAUCAUCCUCUACCUGAACAAAAUGGACAUCCUGGCUGAGAAGAUUGAAUUCUCUGAUCUAAAAACAUACUUUCCUGAAUUUGAAGGUAUAGGUGCACAUACUGGUAAGUGCCGAAUUACAUGUGUGACCUCUAGUUUGACACCUGAUUUGCUUAUCCAUCUGUUUUCUUUUGUGAUUUAGCGCCACCUUCAGGCAAGCUUGGGGACGUCCAUAAUGCCAUGCUGUUCAUCAGAAAUGUAUUUACGCAAAAAAUGGUUUUACUAUUACUUAUUUAGUACUAACAUUUUGUAUAUUCUAAAAUGAAUAAUGCAAUAAUAACACGGUGUCAUAGAUCACUAUAAUAUGAGUGUACACUGUAAUUUUGAUUAUACAGUGUUGUAAAUAAAAUACAAAUAAUUGAAAAGACCCAACCUUUCUU